This is a long non-coding RNA of Carassius auratus (goldfish), 625 nucleotides long. RefSeq lists it as uncharacterized. NCBI's taxonomy places the organism in Eukaryota, Metazoa, Chordata, Actinopteri, Cypriniformes, Cyprinidae. The transcript is spliced from 3 exons. The record is from RefSeq and is a predicted model, not a curated record.
UGAUCUCAGCAUCAGUCUCUCUCUACCUCUGGAGGUGGAAUAUCAGGAUAAAAACAGCUACAGCUGUGUGCUCAACAAUCCCAUCAGCAACCAGACUCAACAUCUGGACAUCACUCAGCUCUGUCUCACAUGUUCAGGUUCUUCCACAAGUUAUUAACUGAGCUGAUCUCUGUCUUCUUUUGUAGAUCAGACUGAUUCAAUCACUCACAUUAAUGACUGUCUGUCUUUUACUCUCCUCUAGUCUCAGUGUCUCUGGUUGUACCGAUCUCUGCUGCUGCUGCUGGAUCUUUGUUGAUUGUUGCUGCAGUCGUGAUCUUCUGCAUCUGCAGGAAAUCGCGGACACAGGAGAAAGACAAGACCGAUUCAGCACUGUGCAAAUCAACAACUCGCAAAAAGAAAUUAAAAAAGGAGGCUGUGUAUGAAAAUUUUGCCCCAAAAAGGUGAUCAAAUACUGGGAUCUACUGGAAUAAACCAUGAAAUGUUAUAGAGCUCUUAUAGACCCUGACUAGUUUAUAGCCCUGACAUUUAUUCUGGAUGUUUUUUAUUUUAUUUAUUUUUUUAAUAAAAAUGUUAUGUUAUGCCUGAAAUGUUGCUGCUUUAUGUACUAGUUUAAUGCAUUCAGAAA